Molecule: long non-coding RNA, 4365 nt
Filed under: Homo sapiens (human)
Lineage: Eukaryota; Metazoa; Chordata; Mammalia; Primates; Hominidae
Description: non-protein coding lnc-AADAT-8:1
Source: RNAcentral
AUAUCUUCUUUUGAGAAGUGUCUGUUCAUAUCCUUUGCCCACUUUUUGAUGGGGUUGUUUUUUUCUUGUAAAUUUGUUUAAGUUCUUGUAAUUAUCUUUUAAAAGUUCAGCAAACAAGAGAACAGAAGUAGACAACUAAAAGAAAACAUAAACACAAUACAUAAAAGAAGAUAUUCAACAAAGAAAAAACAUAUUAAGAAUACAAUGAACUAAACAUCUCAAUAAUUCUCAUGUGUGUUCCUGCAAGAAUUCUGAGUAUUGUGUGUUUUGCAUUGAAAAGGACUAACAGCUAUUAGUCCUACCAGAGCAAGACCAAGCAAAAGGAACAAAUCUGGAGGCAUCAAAUUACCCGGCUUUAUAUUAUACCACAAGGCUAUCGUUACCAAAGCAUCAUGAUACUGGUAUAGAAACAGGUACAUAGAUAAAUGAGGAAAAGUAUUGUAUAAAUGCUAAACCAUGUAUAAAAUGAUCUAAUUUAGGGAGUUAUAUCUAAUUUAAUGUGGUAUAAUUUGUCUUUUUCCAUAGACAGAAGUUAAAAAGAAACAUAUCAAAAUAUUGUCUGUAACUCAAAGGACAAAUGCCUGAGGGGAUGGAGACCCCAUUCUCCAUGAUGUGCUUAUUUCACAUUGCAUACCUGUAUCAAAACAUCUCAGGUACCCUAUAAAUAUAUAUACCUACUAUGUACCCACAAAAAUUAAAAAUAAGAAGAAAUUAAAAAUAAAAUAAAAAUAAACCUACCAAUAUAUUAACAAUGGCUAUUUCCUUGCAAGUCAUAGGUUUUCUUAAUUUUUCUGCAUUUUUAAAUAUUUCUACAAUGAUAGUGAACUAUUUGUAUAGUCAGCAGAAAAUUAAUAUUAUUAAUAGAUUUAAAUAGCAAAAAUAAACCUGACUCUGUUCAGAGAGUAGAAGACUUUCUAGAGACUGUUGUUUGGGGUCACUGUUCAACCAACAGAGCCCUCACUGUGGAGAGAUUGAGGCAGAGUCCCAUUAUCACCCUGACUGACUAAGCUGGCAGCCACUAGCCUGCUGGCUCUGAGCCCUCCUGAUAUCCUGAAGUCAGGGGCCCAGGGGCUGUGGGAAACCUGCCCUUCAGUGGCCUCAUCAAAUGUCCUCAAUCCAUAUGCUUUGCGUACAUGAAAAGAUGUGGACAGUAGAGUAAUUAUAAAAAGAAAUAAAUGACUGGGCAAAGUUAGGAAAAAUGGAGACACAUUAUACAUUAUUAUGUAUAGUAUCAGCUGUUACUGUUUCUACGUGUCUGGAGGUAAAAUUUUAAAAAAUGACAUAAAAUUUUUUUAAAAAAGACAACUUAAGUAGAACACUUAGUAAUUGCCAAAAAAACAAUACAAAUUUUGCUUUAGUUUAAAAAUUCCCAGUCCAUUCACAAUUGCUUCAAAGAGAAUAAAAUACCUAGGAAUCCAACUUACAAGGGACGGGAAGGACCUCCUCAAGGAGAACCACAAACCACUGCUCAAUGAAAUAAAAGAGGAUACAAACAAAUGGAAGAACAUUCCAUGCUCAUGGGUAGGAAGAAUCAAUAUCUUGAAAAUGGCCAUACUGCCCAAGGUAAUUUAUAGAUUCAAUGCCAUCCCCAUCAAGCUACCAAUGACUUUCUUCACAGAAUUGGAAAAAACUACUUUAAAGUUCAUAUGGAACCAAAAAAGAGCCCACAUCGCCAAGUCAAUCCUAAGCCAAAAGAACAAAGCCGGAGGCAUCACGCUACUUGACUUCAAACUAUACUACAAGGCUACAGUAACCAAAACAGCAUGGUACUGGUACCAAAACAGAGAUAUAGAUCAAUGGAACAGAACAGAGCCCUCAGAAAUAACGCCACAUAUCUACAAAUAUCUGAUCUUUGACAAACCUGAGAAAAACAAGCAAUGGGGAAACGAUUCCCUAUUUAAUAAAUGGUGCUGGGAAAACUGGCUAGCCAUAUGUAGAAAGCUGAAACUGGAUCCCUUCCUUACACCUUAUACAAAAAUUAAUUCAAGAUGGAUGAAAGACUUCAAUAUUAGACCUAAAACCAUAAAAACUCUAGAAGAAAACCUAGGCAUUACCAUUCAGGACAUAGGCAUGGGCAAGGACUUCAUGUCUAAAACACCAAAAGCAAUGGCAACAAAAGCCAAAAUUGACAAACGGGAUCUAAUUAAACUAAAGAGCUUCUGCAUGGCAAAAGAAACUACCAUCAGAGUGAACAGGCAACCUACAAAAUGGGAGAAAAUUUUCGCAACCUACUCAUCUGACAAAGGGCUAAUAUCCAGAAUCUACAAUGAACUCAAACAAAUUUACAAGAAAAAAACAACCCCAUCAAAAAGUGGGUGAAGGACAUGAACAGACAUUUCUCAAAAGAAGACAUUUAUGCACCCAAAAAACACAUGAAAAAAUGCUCAUCAUCACUGGCCAUCAGAGAAAUGCAAAUCAAAACCACAAUGAGAUAUCAUUCACACCAGUUAGAAUGGCAAUCACUAAAAAGUCAGGAAACAACAGGUGCUGGAGAGGAUGUGGAGAAAUAGGAACACUUGUACACUGUUGGUGGGACUGUAAACUAGUUCAACCCUUGUGGAAGUCGGUGCAGCGAUUCCUCAGGGAUCUAGAACUAGAAAUACCAUUUGACCCAGCCAUCCCAUUACUGGGUAUAUACCCAAAGGACUAUGAAUCAUGCUGCUAUAAAGACACAUGCACACGUAUGUUUAUUGCAGCACUAUUCACAAUAGCAAAGACUUGGAACCAACCCAAAUGUCCAACAAUGAUAGACUGGAUUAAGAAAAUGUGGCACAUAUACACGAUGGAAUACUAUGCAGCCAUAAAAAAUGAUAAGUUCAUGUCCUUUGUAGGGACAUGGAUGAAAUUGGAAAUUAUCAUUCUCAGUAAACUAUCGCAAGAACAAAAAACCAAACACUGCAUAUUCUCACUCAUAGGUGGGAACUGAACAAUGAGAACACAUGGACACAGGAAGAGGAACAUCACACUCUGGGGACUGUUGUGGGGUGGGGGGAGGGGGGAGGGAUAGCUUUAGGAGAUAUAUCUAAUGCUAAAUGACGAGUUAAUGGGUGCAGCACACCAGCAUGGCACAUGUAUACAUAUAUAACUAACCUGCACAUUGUGCACAUGUACCCUAAAACUUAAAGUAUAAUAAUAAUAAAAUAAAAAGAAAAAAAAAUUCCCAGUCCAAAAUAUUUGACCUUUAUCUUCAUUUAUAUUCACAAAAGGCCAAAUGUAAGCUUCUGGCCAAGAGCUAGGUGGUUGGCACAUCUAAUUGUCAACUUACCAGAGAGGGCAUCAUGAAAAAGUGCUUUAAGUUGCAUAUUUGCCUUGGCAUUAACCCUCAGACAAUAUGAAUAUUUUCUAAAUAUCUAAACUCAUACAUGAUUUCAAAGUGAAUAAAAAAAGUUCUUGAACCAAGUGAUUUCCUGGUGUUUGGAUGUGUGAGCUCAGCCAAAUUUUUUCAGUCUUAUCACAAAAAAGUAGUUUGAGGAAGAGUAUGGACUUCAAAACCCCUUUCUUGAUAAGUGUUCAUACUCUAUCUCAACCAAAUUGAAGUAACUUCUCCCUAUAUUACAGAGCCUCAGCUCACUGUAAUAUGUUUAUAUUACACCUAAAAAUCACUUAGAAUCAUUAGAUAUGUAUGUAAACUAUGUUUACCUUUGUUGAUUCCUCAGCUUAUAAUUUUGGUUUCUCAGACCUCUGAAUUGGUCAAAAAAAAUUAUAAUAGCCACUCCACAAGCACUCACGCCUUGGACAUCUAAGCCAUUGCCACAGAGAAAUAGUCUACUCCCCAGUCCCCAGCUCUGCUGUCACUCUUCACAUGCUCACACUCCAGACCCCAACUCCAUGGCUGCACUUUGCCCCUCUACACAUCAGAUACUAGAGACACCACCACUGUGAGCUAGCCCACACCAUGAGGCUUGGAACUGUGACCUCUGCACAAGUCAAUGCUCCACACAAUGGCUACACCACCACAAGCAGCUAGCCCAUCCCCUGGUUCUGAAGCCACUGUUGCUCCCCAUAUGCCCAAGCUUCAGGCCCCAGCUUCACAGUUGCUCCACUGUCACUGUGCAUUAGAGACCAGUUCCACUGCCAUUGUAAAUGCAUCCACAAACCAGACUCAAGACCAAGAAAGAUUCCCUCAGCCACACUUUCCAGGUGGGAGAAAAAAAAAUCAAGAAGAUCCCAACAGGCUUCACCACUGAAAACCCCAACAUCCUCACCACUGCUAAAGAAAACAAUAGCCUUACCUGCUGAGGAACCCUGCAACAUUCACUAAUGCUGACCUCAACAAACAGAACUGCAAGAAGACCAUGCCACUGUACAUAUACACCAUGGAAUACUAUGCAGCCAUAAAAAAGGAUGAGUUCAUGUCUUUGUAGG